RNAcentral lists this ribosomal RNA (301 nucleotides) under uncultured bacterium. Its description in RNAcentral is "partial 16S ribosomal RNA". It matches the Rfam family "Bacterial small subunit ribosomal RNA", at positions 510 to 808 of the family's 1533-position model. The record is from RNAcentral.
CACCGCCGCGGUAAAACAGAGGGUGCGAGCGUUAAUCGGAUUUACUGGGCGUAAAGCGUGCGUAGGCGGCUUCUUAAGUCGGAUGUGAAAUCCCUGAGCUUAACUUAGGAAUUGCAUUCGAUACUGGGAAGCUAGAGUAUGGGAGAGGAUGGUAGAAUUCCAGGUGUAGCGGUGAAAUGCGUAGAGAUCUGGAGGAAUACCGAUGGCGAAGGCAGCCAUCUGGCCUAAUACUGACGCUGAGGUACGAAAGCAUGGGGAGCAAACAGGAUUAGAUACCCGUGUAGUCCCUGUCUCUUAUACA